This 211-nucleotide unclassified non-coding RNA is filed under the name uncultured soil eukaryote. RNAcentral describes it as "sequence contains ITS2". The record is from RNAcentral.
UCUUAACUGCCUUCGCUUCGGCGUUGGCUUGUCGAGCGGCUAUGCUUUACGGCAUACCCGUUCUAGUCAAGAAUUCAUAGCAACAUGAGUCUUCGGACUCGCUGUAGGUGUGCUCGUUGAACGUGCAUUGCCGUCGGCUUCAAACCGCUUCAAAUGGUGCGAAGUUGUCGGUCGCUUAUGAUGCGUGUUCGUGUAGCUUGCACCUUGUCUU